This is a non-coding RNA of Pseudonaja textilis, 505 nucleotides long. The record is from RefSeq and is a predicted model, not a curated record. Lineage: Eukaryota; Metazoa; Chordata; Lepidosauria; Squamata; Elapidae.
CAGGAAGAUCCCUUGGGAAGAUCCAAGUCAGGACACUUCAGGAGGGAAACAAAGAAUGAAACCUUCUGGUUUUUAUGACGGAGAGCAAACAGCAGUUGAACCUGCAAAUCAAGAGGGUCUUGUGUCCUUUGAGGAGGUGGCUGUGUAUUUCUCUGAGGAGGAAUGGUCUCAGCUGGAUCCUGACCAGAAAGCGCUGCAUUCAGAAGUCAUGCUUGAAAACCAUAGGAACGUGGUCUCUCUGGGUAAGAGUUUUCUAGUCCCUAACCAAAGAGUUCAAGAAGAGAGAUUAUAGUUAGUUUUUUAUUAAAAAACCAAUAAUCAGAUAUUGUCUCCUGGGAGGGAGAAGGAAAGGAUCUGGCUUUAUUGUGCUCCAUGGAAGGAAAGAGUCAAUGUCUCUUUGCUUGGAUUCUUUCUCUGCCAUUUCUUAUCUGUAUUUUUCCAUUUCUAUUUGAACUUCUCUAUGGAGGCUGAAAAGAACGAGGUGUGCUUUUAUGUGUCCUCUGGA